GUCUGUAUAGCUCAGCUCGGUAGAGCAAUUGCGACGGCAUGGCGCGCUGGUUCGAAUCCAGCUACAGGCA
Molecule: transfer RNA, 70 nt
Filed under: Paenibacillus hunanensis
Lineage: Bacteria; Bacillati; Bacillota; Bacilli; Caryophanales; Paenibacillaceae
Description: tRNA-Val
Rfam family: tRNA
About the family: Transfer RNA (tRNA) molecules are approximately 80 nucleotides in length. Their secondary structure includes four short double-helical elements and three loops (D, anti-codon, and T loops).
Source: RNAcentral